This 478-nucleotide ribosomal RNA is filed under the name uncultured bacterium. RNAcentral's name for it is "bacterial SSU rRNA". It matches the Rfam family "Bacterial small subunit ribosomal RNA", at positions 15 to 507 of the family's 1533-position model. The record is from RNAcentral.
GAUCAUGGCUCAGAUUGAACGCUGCGGCAUGCCUUACACAUGCAAGUCGAACGGCAGCACGGGUGCUUGCACCUGGUGGCGAGUGGCGAACGGGUGAGUAAUAUAUCGGAACGUGCCCAAUCGUGGGGGAUAACGCAGCGAAAGCUGUGCUAAUACCGCAUACGAUCUACGGAUGAAAGCGGGGGAUCGCAAGACCUCGCGCUAUUGGAGCGGCCGAUAUCAGAUUAGCUAGUUGGUGGGGUAAAGGCCUACCAAGGCGACGAUCUGUAGCUGGUCUGAGAGGACGACCAGCCACACUGGGACUGAGACACGGCCCAGACUCCUACGGGAGGCAGCAGUGGGGAAUAUUGGGCAAUGGAGGAAACUCUGACCCAGCGACGCCGCGUGCGGGAUGAAGGCCUUCGGGUUGUAAACCGCUUUCAGUAGGGAAGAAGCGAAAGUGACGGUACCUACAAAAGAAGCACCGGCUAACUAUGUG